GUGCCAGCAGCCGCGGUAAUACGGGGGGUGCGAGCGUUGUUCGGAAUUAUUGGGCGUAAAGAGCGUGUAGGCGGCCGAAUAAGUCAGAUGUGAAAUCCCUGGGCUUAACCCAGGACGUGCAUUUGAAACUAUUCGGCUAGAGUAGGGGAGAGGAAAGUGGAAUUCCUGGUGUAGAGGUGAAAUUCGUAGAUAUCAGGAGGAACACCAAUGGCGAAGGCAGCCCCCUGGGAUAACACUGACGCUCAUGUACGAAAGCGUGGGUAGCAAACAGGAUUAGAUACCCUGGUAGUCCACGCCCUAA
Molecule: ribosomal RNA, 301 nt
Filed under: uncultured bacterium
Lineage: Bacteria
Description: bacterial SSU rRNA
Rfam family: Bacterial small subunit ribosomal RNA
Source: RNAcentral